GGGAAUUUUCCGCAAUGGGCGAAAGCCUGACGGAGCAAUACCGCGUGAGGGAAGACCGCCUAUGGGUUGUAAACCUCUUUUUUCAGGGAGGAAUAAAUUGACGUGUACCUGAAGAAUAAGCAUCGGCUAACUCCGUGCCAGCAGCCGCGGUAAGACGGAGGAUGCAAGUGUUAUCCGGAAUCACUGGGCGUAAAGCGUCUGUAGGUGGUUUAAUAAGUCAACUGUUAAAUCUUGAGGCUCAACUUCAAAAUCGCAGUCGAAACUAUUAGACUAGAGUAUAGUAGAGGUAAAGGGAAUUUCCAGUGGAGCGGUGAAAUGCGUAGAUAUUAGGAAGAACACCAAUGGCGAAAGCACUCUACUGGGCCACAACUGACACUGAGAGACGACAGCUAGGGGAGCAAAUGGGAUUAGAUACCCCAGUAGUC
Molecule: ribosomal RNA, 425 nt
Filed under: uncultured cyanobacterium
Lineage: Bacteria; Bacillati; Cyanobacteriota
Description: bacterial SSU rRNA
Rfam family: Bacterial small subunit ribosomal RNA
Source: RNAcentral